UACGGGAGGCAGCAGUGGGGAAUAUUGCACAAUGGGCGCAAGCCUGAUGCAGCCAUGCCGCGUGUAUGAAGAAGGCCUUCGGGUUGUAAAGUACUUUCAGUCGUGAGGAAGGUGUUAAGGUUAAUAACCUUAGCAAUUGACGUUAGCGACAGAAGAAGCACCGGCUAACUCCGUGCCAGCAGCCGCGGUAAUACGGAGGGUGCGAGCGUUAAUCGGAAUUACUGGGCGUAAAGGGCACGCAGGCGGUUAAUUAAGUUGGAUGUGAAAUCCCCGGGCUUAACCUGGGAAUGGCAUUCAAGACUGGUUAGCUAGAGUCUUGUAGAGGGGGUAGAAUUCCAUGUGUAGCGGUGAAAUGCGUAGAGAUGUGGAGGAAUACCGGUGGCGAGGCGGCCCCGUGGACAAGACUGACGCUCAUGUGCGAAAGCGUGGGGAGCAAACGAGGGAUUAGAUACC
This 453-nucleotide ribosomal RNA is filed under the name uncultured bacterium. RNAcentral describes it as "bacterial SSU rRNA". It matches the Rfam family "Bacterial small subunit ribosomal RNA", at positions 340 to 786 of the family's 1533-position model. The record is from RNAcentral.